This 267-nucleotide unclassified non-coding RNA is filed under the name Hevea brasiliensis (rubber tree). The record is from RNAcentral. Lineage: Eukaryota; Viridiplantae; Streptophyta; Magnoliopsida; Malpighiales; Euphorbiaceae.
AAGGAGAUGUCAACUAAACCAGAGAACAGGGUUUGUGGCAGAAACAUUUAGUAACAGUGUGAGUGAGGAUUAGCCAUCCAUGAAGAAUAUUUCUGAAAAUUUCAAGGCAACUUUGGACACUGACAGCAUUUUACCUUAAAUAGUUUUGGAUUGUACAUUUACCAAUUCAUCAUGAAACAUGUAAAUAAUCUAUAAAUCCACCCAUUGUAAUGUAUAAUACAAAAGACGAAUGCAUUUAAUAAAGAGUGCAUGAAGUUUUUUAGAAAA